RNAcentral lists this ribosomal RNA (402 nucleotides) under uncultured bacterium. RNAcentral's name for it is "bacterial SSU rRNA". It matches the Rfam family "Bacterial small subunit ribosomal RNA", at positions 28 to 416 of the family's 1533-position model. The record is from RNAcentral.
GACGAACGCUGGCGGCGUGCUUAACACAUGCAAGUCGAGCGGUAAGGCCCCUUUUGGGGGGUACACGAGCGGCGAACGGGUGAGUAACACGUGGGUGACCUGCCUUCAGCUCUGGGAUAAGCUUGGGAAACUGGGUCUAAUACCGGAUAUGACCUUGGGGUGCAUGCCUUGGGGGUGGAAAGCUUGGUUGUAAUGACUUGGCGGCUGGAGAUGGGCCUGCGGCCUAUCAGCUUGUUGGNGGGGUGAUGGCCUACCAAGGCAAAGACGGGUAGCUGGUCUGAGAGGAUGAUCAGCCACACUGGAACUGAGACACGGUCCAGACUCCUACGGGAGGCAGCAGUGGGGAAUCUUGCGCAAUGGGCGAAAGCCUGACGCAGCGACGCCGCGUGAGUGAUGAAGGCC